Panicum virgatum (switchgrass) is the source of this 1783-nucleotide long non-coding RNA. RefSeq lists it as uncharacterized. Lineage: Eukaryota; Viridiplantae; Streptophyta; Magnoliopsida; Poales; Poaceae. The record is from RefSeq and is a predicted model, not a curated record. The transcript is spliced from 3 exons.
UCCAUCCCCUCCUCAGUCCGGAGUCGAUCUAGACCUCAACCCUCCAGGAUUCGUUCCGCGUCCUGGCGGCGGCGGCCGGCGAAUUCGGCUUCCUAGCGACGGCGCGACCACCUUCUCGUCGGAUCCAUGUGACGGGUGGAGGGCCGGGUAGCGCCGGCCGACGUGGGCGUGGAGCGCGGCGCCGACGCCGAAGAAGACGAGGAUGGAGGCCGCGUUCGUCAGGACGAGGAGCAGCACCACAGCCCUAGACCUCCGCCGUCGCUGCUGAUCUGAUCUGGGCUUCUUGGCGUUGUCGUAGUCCAUGCUCCUCCCCAUUCUCUUGAUGCAACACCAAGGUGCUCCGACGCAGUGGCAUGCCAUGGCGCGGCGGUGUUUAUAGGUGCGUGGUUUUGGCAAGUUUAGGUGACGACCAGGGGAGGAAGAGCCGAGCUGUUGCUUGAGGAGUGAUCAAAGCAGAGGGGGGUGUAGUAUUCAUUUGCAACAUGGAGUAGCAGUCAACACAUACACACACCUUGCCAUAUUGGGAGGCCUCGCAGCAAUUCUGCUGUGAUCUACUGGCCUUCGUGCAGGUGUUCAUAGGGGUGCGUUCUGGUUCCCCUGGCUGCUGGCUUUGGCUCACGUUUAUGCUAAGCAGAGUUGACUAGUAACCGCGAUAAUGAUUGAAAGGAAUUGUUUUGUUUCUUUUGCUGAGUUUUCUCUACAGAGGCACAUCGAUUUCAGUUUAUAUGUGAGUAGUGUUCCUCAGUUGGCGGCACACUUUGUACUUAUGUUGCCCAAAUAUGGUUAGCAAACUCUAUUUAUCCGAGCACACUUUGACUGAUUAUCAUAUUCUAGAUUCAUUUUGCAUACGAUUCGUAGCAUACUGUUAGCUAUUUCUUUGACUACGACAUCAUAGAACAGUAGAAAAUCAGUGUGAACUCUCUCUAUGAUUCUUGAAAUGCCAUUUUAUGCGUCUAAUGUUCUUUUACUGUCAAAUGGUUAGCAAACUCUUUGUCACUGAUAAUCUAUUCUGUUGUUGAUCUAACUGACAUCAGGCCACGAUAAUUUUCAUGAGAUCUUCCCUCCAUUUAUCUGAGGUGAUUAUGUGCAUGCAGGCUUGCUGGUAUCCCAUGUGAGGUGACUGAAUCCAAUUUUGGUUGCUGUUAUGUUAUGUAUUACCACGGUCCAUGAUGUACUCUGCCAAUUAUAUGUUGUGUUGUGUGAUGGUUUCUGAUGUAGAAGGAUCCAUUCAGUGGCGGAGCCAGACUAGAGAAUCAGAAGGGGCCAGCAUUGGUAAUUGAGGUGCUAAACUAAUAAACAGUCACCGUGUUCGGCUGGUCUCCAGCCCUCCAGCCUUACAUUAUUUCGCUCUCACACCACUCCAGCCACCAGCCAGGAGAGGGGGGGGGGGCAUGGCCCCCUUUGGCCUCAACCUAGCUCUGCCAGUGGAUCCAUUAUUCUGUUGAAGCAUGCAUCUCAAUGUUGUGCUCCAAAUUGUCAUGCCAUGCAGACGGACGUUUUUCUUUAUAAGAACAGGCACAUGUUUGAAAAAAAUCUUUGUGCAGUUGAUAGUUGUGGUCGCCUGUGAUUUGCUUGACCUGUCAUCAACACUUUGAAAAAAAAAUCACUCCUGUGUCUUUAGUCACCUGUGCAACAUGAUCUAUUGACUAUUGUAGUAUUCACUCGUCCUGCUGGUAUCACUAAGAUUGCCAGAUCGGCGUGAUUGAAUUUGGAGUGUAUUCGGUGGCAUGUAAUCAAUGGAUGUUCAUUCGGUGCAAACUUAUGGUACUUAUUCUGUCGAAUA